CCCUUAGAUGUCCUGGGCUGCACGCGCGCUACACUGAUGUGUCCAGUAAGCACCUAACCUCUUCCGAAAGGAACGGGUAACCUUUGCAAAGCACAUCGUGAUGGGGAUAGAUUAUUGCAAUUAUUAGUCUUGAACGAGGAAUUCCUAGUAAGCACAAGUCAUCAGCUUGUGUUGAUUACGUCCCUGCCCUUUGUACACACCGCCCGUCGCUCCUACCGAUUGAAUGGUUCGGUGAAGAUCUCGGACUUCGAUAUUUAUUCUUUAUUGAGUUUAUAUUGUGGGAAGUUAUCUAAACCUCAUCAUUUAGAGGAAGGUGAAGUCGUAACA
RNAcentral lists this ribosomal RNA (327 nucleotides) under uncultured eukaryote. Its description in RNAcentral is "partial 18S ribosomal RNA". It matches the Rfam family "Eukaryotic small subunit ribosomal RNA", at positions 1470 to 1796 of the family's 1831-position model. The record is from RNAcentral.